UACGGGAAGGCAGCAGUGGGGAAUAUUGCACAAUGGGCGCAAGCCUGAUGCAGCCAUGCCGCGUGUAUGAAGAAGGCCUUCGGGUUGUAAAGUACUUUCAGUCGUGAGGAAGGUGUUAAGGUUAAUAACCUUAGCAAUUGACGUUAGCGACAGAAGAAGCACCGGCUAACUCCGUGCCAGCAGCCGCGGUAAUACGGAGGGUGCGAGCGUUAAUCGGAAUUACUGGGCGUAAAGGGCACGCAGGCGGUUAAUUAAGUUGGAUGUGAAAUCCCCGGGCUUAACCUGGGAAUGGCAUUCAAGACUGGUUAGCUAGAGUCUUGUAGAGGGGGUAGAAUUCCAUGUGUAGCGGUGAAAUGCGUAGAGAUGUGGAGGAAUACCGGUGGCGAAGGCGGCCCCUGGACAAAGACUGACGCUCAUGUGCGAAAGCGUGGGGAGCGAAACAGGAUUAGAUACC
This 454-nucleotide ribosomal RNA is filed under the name uncultured bacterium. RNAcentral's name for it is "bacterial SSU rRNA". It matches the Rfam family "Bacterial small subunit ribosomal RNA", at positions 340 to 786 of the family's 1533-position model. The record is from RNAcentral.